UUUUUUUUUUAGGGCUUUACCCACGGCAUAUGGAGGUUCCCAGGCUAGGGGUCCAAUAAGAGCUACAACUGCUGGCCUACGCCACAGCCACCAAUGCCAGAUCCAAGCUGAAUCCGAGACCUAUACCACGGCUCAUGGCAACGCCAGAUACUUACUUAACCCACUAAGCGAGGGCAGGGAUCAAAUCCGCAAUCUCACGGUUCCUAGUCGGAUUCGCUUUCCCUGCACCAUGAUGGGAACUCCCAAAUUUCCCAAGUUUUGAUAACUGCAUUAUGGUUAAAAAGAGAACACUUAGAAAAUGCAUCCUGAAUGAUGCAGUGAUUAGAGAAGAGAAAGAUCUCCGGUCUCUCCCACCUCCUAAGUCUUGUUGCUCUGACUGCUCAGCUUCCCUGUAGGGAGCAAGCUGAUGCCUUGGCCUUGAGCACCCACCCGCAGAACGAGCACCAGCCUGGCAGCCAAGCCAGCCUAGCCCAGUGAGAGGCAGAGCCACCUAGAGCCCUAACCCUGUACACUGCAGAUUGUAUGUCAUACAACUUCAGAGGAGAGCAGUAUGCGCAAGGUCAUUAGGAUGUGGUGAGGUGGGGAGAAAGGAGAAAAGCAUUUAAGGGAAAGAGGACUGUGCGAAAGGGAAGGAGGCAGGAACGGGUCUGACAAAUAUGGGGUUCAAGAGAAGAACAGCAGGUGGUGUCUUGCUGCAACCUAGCGCCUGGUAUCACAACUGUUCUCCUUGGCCUGGACCACCUGGCUGCAAUGUCCCCAGCAAAGAAAGAGCUCAGAAAAGAAGGAUGUGGGCACCAGGUCCAGAGGCCUGGCUGUUCAUCAAGAUGCCAGAACACCACCUUAGUCCCAGGCAAAGAACUCACUACAUAACACCACUGGCAGCUAUGGCAAGAACCCAGGAGCUCCUGUACGGUUCAGUAGUUCACCUCCAUGAGCAAGGUCAGAUGCAUGCCCCCACCCUUCCUCUCCUCUCCCUCGUGCCUCACAUGACCAAUGACCAAAAUUCAGCCUGAGCCGUGUCCACACUGGCCCAGCCCAAGAAUCUCCACUGCUGGGAGAACAAGAUUGCUAUAAAAUAGCUGCAUCAGGACACUGUUCCAUCUGCAGCAGAUCUGUCCCUCAGACUCAGGCAGGUUCUUAGCAAGACUACAGUGUUGGUUGUUUCUCUGCAGACUUUCCCCCUAUUUAGCAUAUUAGUAAAUUAUUUACUUAAACAUGGGUUGAGAAAAACAAAAACAAAUAUGUAAUCUGCUAAGCAGUCUAAGAGACAAUUUAACAUUCUUGUUUGAUUUCAUGUAACAGAGUUGGAUUUUUUUUUUUUGUUGUUAUAACUGAUGAGAUUUCUCAGAGAAAUCUGAAGACAGAAUGAUAAAAGCUAGGCUCUUGACAUAAACUACACAUUCAUUUAAGUCUCCCUAUACUGUGUAAGCAAAACCCCAACACUGUCCCUUGUCACCAGCCUUUCCUGUGCUUCUAAAUUCUGGGUGGUUCCAGGGCCAAGCCUGAGGGUAGGGCAGCAGUAGAAAUAGCAGACCUGCAGUCUUCGACACUGCUGCCUGGAAACCCCACAGCAAAACCCUGCUGGGGAGGAGCAGAUGCAUGUGUGCUGCACACACAGUCAAGGGACACACACAGGGGCAGGCAGCCAGGCUUGCUGGAACCACCUGCCUGUAUGUUAGCCCUAAACUCGCUACGCAGUUAGAAAACCUACCCUCACGCUCUGAUGCCACCUGGGCCAAGACUGGCAAGAAGCGUGCUACAUCCCGCCGCUGUUCAACUCUUCCUGCAAGGCUGGAGGCUGACUUGUGUCAUUUAACCAGGUGUUGUCACCGUCUUAUCCUUCUACAUCGUUUUUUAUGUUAAGUGAAAACAUCUUCUAAGAAAACAAAAAAGCCUAUGAAGAACACUGAUGCGAUUAAGAAAAGCCCAUGGGCUAGAACAAAAGUUGGGGUGGGGUGGGGGUGGGUAAAGCAUUUUGAGAAAAGUGAAUGUAUAAAAAACACAACAUUGAUGCUGCAUAUGUCCUAACCUACUGUGCAUACAACUUGGUCUGUGAAAGGAAAAUAAAGGAAAAGCAUGAAAGACCUGACGCCGAUCACUUGCUGGUGAUAGGAGAAGCCACAAAUACCUGACACCAAGUUUUAAAAGAAAUUUUAGAGCCCAAGGAAAACACUAGCUGAGUGCCCCAGUCAGCUGAACAAACCUUUCUUCCCCAAUAUCCCUUUCCUGACUGUCCCAACACCCCACACCACAUCAGACUCGCCUGCUCCAGCCUCCUCCUCAUUCAAGGCAGCUCCUUUGGAAUGAAGAGGACACAUUAAUCAAAGGAAAAGGGGGAGACCAGGUCAGAUAAGACAAGGCUUCAGUAACUCAAGGGAAAGUCUUUUUCUCCCAGGGGGAAAGGCAGUUUCAAGGGCUGACAACCUCGCUGUUAUAGUGCAGACUAGACCAUGCAGAGGGCUGGAGUUCUCAUAGAAGAGGUUCUUUAGCCAAGCCCAAGCCCACCACAGCUGGGGCUGCACUCAGAGGGGCCAGAGGUUCCCAGGAUCCCCCCAACCUGCCUUAGUCUCUGCGACCACACCUGACAGCUGUCCACAACUGAGGCUGAACCAAAGAGCUACAGGUGGAAGCAUAUCUACUUUGUCUACACCCGUGUGGAGUGUGGUGGACAGUCAACAGAAGCCUGUUAAUAAUGAGUAGCUUGCUGCAUUAGUCUAAAGCAAGGUCUCCAGAACCAGAAGGCCUAGCUCUACCACUCAUUGGCUGUGUGACCCUGGGCAGGUUACUUAACUUCCCUGUGACUCAGUUUCCUUACCUAUGAGAUGGAGACAAUAUUAGCACCUACUUUUCAGGGUGGCUGUGAGGACUAACUAGGCUAAUCCGCAGUGCCUGGCAUGGAGCGGGUCCAGCGGAUCUGCCCACAUUAUCAUGCCAUCUAUCUCAGGAUCCACGGCCAAUCGGACGGGGGCUGGGAGAAGGUCACUGGGUCCUCGUUUCUUCUCCUACAGCCCCAAAGACACAAACAGGAGACCUCCCCCAAGGGGAACCCAUGAGGUCUGGGAUGUGCUUACACGGUUUUAAAGCAAAGAGUCUCAGAGAAACAAUCCAAAAGAAGCAUGAGGUAAACGCAGAACUUGACUUAACCACCCAAUAAUGUAAUUCACCAUCCUUUUAAGUGUAAGGUGUAGAAAACAGGCCUGAAUUGAGUCAAGGUGGCUCUCUGGAACUGGCUGUUUUUCUGGGAGCCUCUGCCGCCCCAUCUCCAUCCCCCAGAACUGAUGGCCAUGUCCAUGAUCUCCCACUUGGACCCCUGCCCUCACCACUCCCUCUGUACUGAGAGCCCUUGGUAUCUCCUCCACCUCCAGUGUUGUAAUGAAGCAGGGCUUCCUUGUGGUCUCUUUCUGAGGUCUCCUGGCAGAAUCCCUCCUCUCCAGUCUGUUCAAACGUCUACUGACCUCUUCACACUGCACUGUAAUGAUGUGCCAGCCCCUCAAGGACAGAGGACUGGGUCCCAGCUCUCCCUUGUCAAGGCAGCCCGGCACUGUACUUGGUGCUCAGGUCCUUAGCAGAUCUGUUUUGUUAGGGCUCAUAUGACAGUCUGCUAAGUAAUCCACAAACUGAAUAAAUAAAGUUCCCAAUGGGUGAUUCUGCCCCCCAGGGGACUUCAGGCAAUGUCUGGAGAUAUUCUGAGUUGUCACUAUGGGAGUGGGGGUGAAGGAGCUACUGAUGUCCAGUGGAUUGAGGCUAGGUAUGCUGCUAAACAUCCUAUAAUGCACAGGAAAGGGCACACAGCAAAGAGUUAUCUGGCCCAAAAUGUCAAUGGUGCCAAGUUGAAAAACCCUGAGUUAAAUGGAUAACUUCCUAGCACUGGAGUGAUGCAAGAGAUGCACAGACCUCUUCUACAGAUGCCAUGAAGAAAAGGAUAACUCUUAAGGGCCAUCCCUAACUCUUAACAUUAACUAUUUUCCUUAUAGUCAUAAAGCACAAAGCACCAGGGAAACAAAUCUGUAAACCUGCAGGUAACCUGAAAUCACCAAGGGCCCUGGAAAUCCCUCUUCCCCAGUUACAGGAUGGACCAUGUACGCUUCCCCCAAGGCCCUGCCUCAGAGUCUGGACCUUGGUCCCAGAGUGGAAUCACCAUCCUUACUCAGCCGGGCCUGAAAAGCAAAUGCAAGCUGUAACUCAUACAUCCAUAAAAUAACCGGUAGUUCAUCCACAAUUCAUAUGGUUAAUGUUAUCAAUAGCCACAAAACAGUCUGAAGUUCCAGAUACUACUUUGAACAUAAAAUGUAAUUAUUAAGAAACUCAGGCUGGUCCAAAUAAGAAGAAAAUGAGGUGAGGUGGCCGGGGAUAGAGAGUAGUCAGAAGCGCACCUGUGUGGAAAGGAGGGGGUGAAAAACGGCACCAGGGGAAGAGGCUGAGAGCAUUUGGGGUCUGAGGGACCUGGCUCACAUCUCAGCUCUGCAGCUACUGACUGGGACCUGGUGCUACACACUUCCCCUGCUCACCGUCCUUGUUUGUAACAUGAAAAUCACCCUAUUCCACAUUUCUGUGAGGCACAUCAAGUACUAAAAGCACAAGAGCUAGCACACUGGGGACUCAAUAAAAAAGCCAGCUGCAGCAAAGCCAGCUUUAGUGGCCAAGUGCCCCCACCUGCUACCAUGGGGCCUGGGGCUGAUGAAGCCAGGGACUCGGACACAGUUCAACCACCUGUAAAUGGGCUGCCCCAGUCUACCCGCUGCCCUCUCAAGGCCCAUGUGAGACUGUAGGUGAAAACACAAGAAAGGGUCAAGUGAAGGAAAGGGAUUACCACCUACACCAAAACCACCUGGUCUGGGGGCAUACUAACUUGGAAUUGACAAUGGUUGUGCUUGCUGGGUUAUAGUUUUUUACUAAUAUGCAAUCUAACAGAAGAAGGUUAAAGGUAGAGAUACUGAGUAAACAAGACAGAAAUGGCAAUGUUUAACCUAAUUCAGAAAACAAGUUACUCCAGCACUUGUGAGAUGUUCUUCACCUGAACACAUGAAUGCAAACAGAGUCACCACAAUGAGGCUGAUGGCAUCUACCUUUCCCCCUCCUCCACUAUGGAGGGCCCAACAUGUGCCUGACACUGAGCCAGCUUCCUUACAGUCUUUCCAAACUUCACAGUUCCAGAAAAACCAUCAUCCUCAUCCUGCUGGGGAGGAAAUCAAAGCUUUAAGAAAUACGGGGGUUGCUCAAGGGCAGUACAUGGCAGGAGCAGAAAUGAAAGCCAGGUCACAUCUGUUCCAGCACCAGGGAUGUUGCUAUUUUUCAACCACUUACAAAAUUUCAACAAGACUUCAUCUUCAUACAAUUAUUAUACUAAAUGUAAAGAAUUUUAAACAGACCAUUAAAGCAGUAGAAGCUUGACAGGCCCCUAUAGGGCAAUAUUUGCCAAAUGGAGGUCUAAGUCUAAAAAAUGCAUUUUAUUAUAUAACUCUACAACUCAGACAAUUCCCUAAUUCAGACAACUCCUUCUUGCCCUGAUUUUAAUCCAAAUUAGUGAUGUUUUAUUACACAUAAAGGAGUCAAUCACCAUUAUGGAUAAAUGCUACCAGACAAAGCAGCAUUUAGAAAACUUUCUAAAAAUAAACACACCUCCCCAACCAACCAGCCAUCAUGCUAAUGUUGGCCAAACUCCCUUCCCCGUGGGCAUAAUACCAGCCUGGGACAGAAAGACAUGUUCUUCCUGUGCCCUGGCUGGCACUCCAGGGGAGGAAAGGGAAGUAACAUUUAUUGUGUGUUGGGUACCAGGUCCAGAGACAGCGCCUUCACUCAUGAGCUCCAGCUUCAUUUCUAAAACCCAUCACUGGGUUUCAUUAUUUAACCAGGAGUGAAAAGUCACUGGGGAAUUGAAUAGUCACAGGAUCUCAAGUAUCAUCACUACAGAGAUCAUUUAUUAAUUGCAAAGAGGAAAAUGUACCUUUAUAAAGGAGGAAGCUGGAGAUCUUUGGAGCUCUUUGCCCAGUAACCAACCAUAUUAUCACUAAUAGAGGGACUGCCUAAUGUCAUGUGCUGCCUGGUGAGAUGUAAUAUGAAGCGCAGAGCACCAGUCACAGAGCAUUCAAUGAAAUCCAACAGCAACUCCAGACCAAACUCAGGAAACAGAGAGGUCAGUGAAACUGCCCAAACACCACAACAAGGUAGUACCCAGACAAGACCCGAAGGUGGUACACAACACAUGACAACUGGCCAGGACUUCUUCAAAUGCAAUGGCAGUUAAGGAAAAACAAAAACAAAAACAAAAACACACAACUCUGUGUGUGUGUGUGCACGUGCGCAUGUGUGUAGGGCAGAUUCUCUAGGGUACAUAAAUGACUUAAAAACAUAACCAAAUGCAAUGUAUGGACACUGACUGGAUCGCAGUUUUUCAGAACUCCAGCUAUAAGAGACCUGUGACAUCUGGGGAAGUGUGAAUAUGGACUGGAUAUUACAU
Molecule: long non-coding RNA, 6457 nt
Filed under: Sus scrofa (pig)
Lineage: Eukaryota; Metazoa; Chordata; Mammalia; Artiodactyla; Suidae
Description: lncRNA (ENSSSCG00015016363.1)
Source: RNAcentral